CAUUUUCACCCAUAAUUAUUUUCUCCUUCUUCUCUCUUCACUCUCUCUACACCGCCCCAACUCCGCCCACCACCGUCGGCCGGAAAUCGCCAUUGUCGGCGAACCACCUCCAAACACCUCCAAAUUCACACCAUGUAAUCUCCACAACUUCCUAUUUCCAUAUCUCCAAACCAAAUCCUUCAAAAAUCCCUCAAACACCUUGAAUAUUAGAUCUAGGAAACUUUCCAGUCACUUUUUUGCCCAAAUUCUUGAAGCUCCAACCACUACCACCCCACAAUACCUACAUCAAUGGAUAGAGCUCCUCAAGACCUAGCUAUUGAUGCCAAUUUCACCUUGAAAAUCCGGCGACCAAAAUCUGGCCAAAUUCCGGCGACCUCCCCGAACACCCUCUUUUGGCAUACCACCAUUUUUUCGGCCACUUGAAUUAUAAAAUGGUAAAAAUCCUUUUCUUUUUCGUAGCUGAUUUUUUAUUUUAUUUUUAUUUUUUCAGAUUUUAUUUUAUCUAUUAUUAAUUAUUUUAGCAUUAGUUUUUGAAGUUUGAAAUGUUAAAUUUUUUGUUUUUGCACUUGUUGAAGUAGUAAAAUAGUUUUGUAUUGAUAAAAGUGAGGUAGUGAAAAAUACGUAAGAGUAUAUGAUACUUGUUUGGUUGUUUAUUUACUGCUUCAAGACUCUUUGAGUACAACACUCAAAAGUCAAAUUGUUUGGUAAGAAAAUGUAGACCUUUGGAUAGUGUUUGAAUAAAAGUCUGUCUUUGAAUAGUGGAGACCAGAUUUUGUUUGAAAUACUUGACAAGAUUUGAACCAGAAAGUCUGGCCCUUUGAAUUUAAGAGCAGAUUUUCUAGAAAAAUCUGUCAAAAAGAUUGAUUUUUAAUUUUUUGAAAUAGCUGGCUGUUUUGAUAUAUAGGAGGACACUCCAUCUUACUGAGAGGGCUGGACACACAAAAAAGAGAAAAAAAUCAGUAGCUAUAUAUCCCUUAGCAACUUUUGUGAGUUGAUUCUUAAGUGAAAAACUUGUUUAAGGAAAAUAGAGUAGUCUUGAAAGAUUUUUCUGGAGUUACAUAAUUGUACUGUUUUGCUGGGGUAUUUCUAGUUUUUAUUCUUGGGUUUGAAUCUGCCGGUAGUCGCUGUCUUUUGCUAUUGUUGCUGCCCGUUUAAUUGUUUUGUUGUUGAUUUCGGAAAGAGUUGACUCUGCUGUAUUUGUUCUUCUUUCUGCUGUCCAGGUAAUUUUCGG
This 1231-nucleotide long non-coding RNA is filed under the name Nicotiana tabacum (common tobacco). RNAcentral describes it as "long non-coding RNA (NTAB_LNC016365)". Lineage: Eukaryota; Viridiplantae; Streptophyta; Magnoliopsida; Solanales; Solanaceae. The record is from RNAcentral.